GGAGAGGUGUCCGAGCGGUUGAAGGAGCACGCCUGGAAAGUGUGUAUACGUUAACAGCGUAUCGAGGGUUCGAAUCCCUCCCUCUCCG
Molecule: transfer RNA, 88 nt
Filed under: Thioalbus denitrificans
Lineage: Bacteria; Pseudomonadati; Pseudomonadota; Gammaproteobacteria; Chromatiales; Ectothiorhodospiraceae
Description: Ectothiorhodospiraceae bacterium Su4 tRNA
Rfam family: tRNA
About the family: Transfer RNA (tRNA) molecules are approximately 80 nucleotides in length.
Source: Rfam by way of RNAcentral